Molecule: ribosomal RNA, 413 nt
Filed under: uncultured bacterium
Lineage: Bacteria
Description: bacterial SSU rRNA
Rfam family: Bacterial small subunit ribosomal RNA
Source: RNAcentral
UCGAGAAUAUUCGACAAUGGGCGAAAGCCUGAUCGAGCGACGCCGCGUACUUGAAGAAGCCCUUCGGGGUGUAAAGAGUUUUUUUCGUUGAAGAAGUCGCAAGACUGACAGUAAACGGAGAAUAAGGGGCUGCUAAUCACGUGCCAGCAGCCGCGGUAAUACGUGAGCCCCAAGCGUUAUCCGGAAUUAUUGGGCGUAAAGGGUCCGUAGGUGUCCUUUCAAGUUUUCUGUUAAAGAUCUCCCGCUCAACGGGGGAAAUGCAGAAAAAACUGAUGGGAUUGAGGGUGCUAGAGGUUAGCGGAACGGUCGGUGUAGGGGUGAAAUCCGUUGAUAUCGACCGGAACACCAAAUGCGAAGGCAGCUAACUGGGGCAACCCUGACACUGAGGGACGAAAGCGUGGGGAUCAAAAAGG